GAUGAAGAACGUAGUGAAAUGCGAUAAGUAAUGUGAAUUGCAGAAUUCAGUGAAUCAUCGAAUCUUUGAACGCACAUUGCGCCCAUUAGUAUUCCAGUGGGCAUGCCUGUUCGAGCGUCAUUAAGUCCACUUAAGCCCUGCUUAGUGUUGGGAGACUGCUCCAGCGGUGCUACCCUGUAGCUACCCUGCAGCUCCUCAAAGACAGCGGCGGAGUUGUGGUAUCCUCUGAGCUUAGUAACUUGUUCUAGCUUUCGAGUACACCACUUCCCCUGCCGUAAAACCCUUAAUUUUUAAUGGUUGACCUCGGAUCAGGUAGGAAUACCCGCUGAACUUAAGCAUAUCAAUAAGCGGAGGA
RNAcentral lists this unclassified non-coding RNA (355 nucleotides) under soil metagenome. RNAcentral's name for it is "partial contains 5.8S ribosomal RNA, internal transcribed spacer 2, and large subunit ribosomal RNA". The stretch from base 1 to 120 matches the Rfam family "5.8S ribosomal RNA", at positions 35 to 154 of the family's 154-position model. The record is from RNAcentral.